UACGGAGGGUGCAAGCGUUAAUCGGAAUUACUGGGCGUAAAGCGCGCGUAGGUGGCUUGAUAAGCCGGUUGUGAAAGCCCCGGGCUCAACCUGGGCACGGCAUCCGGACCUGUCAAGCUAGAGUGCAGGUGAGGAAGGUAGAAUUCCGGGUGUAGCGGUGAAAUGCGGAGAGAUCGGGAGGAAUACCAGUGGCGAAGGCGGCCUUCUGGACUGACACUGACACUGAGGUGCGAAAGCGGGGGUAGCAAACAGG
RNAcentral lists this unclassified non-coding RNA (253 nucleotides) under uncultured Halomonadaceae bacterium. Its description in RNAcentral is "contains 16S-23S intergenic spacer region". It matches the Rfam family "Bacterial small subunit ribosomal RNA", at positions 524 to 776 of the family's 1533-position model. Lineage: Bacteria; Pseudomonadati; Pseudomonadota; Gammaproteobacteria; Oceanospirillales; Halomonadaceae. The record is from RNAcentral.